ACGGAACGUACCUUUCAGGUGGGGAUAACGUAGCGAAAGUUACGCUAAUACCGCAUAUUCUGUGAGCAGGAAAGCAGGGGAUCGCAAGACCUUGCGCUGAUUGAGCGGCCGAUAUCAGAUUAGCUAGUUGGUGAGGUAAAGGCUCACCAAGGCGACGAUCUGUAGCGGGUCUGAGAGGAUGAUCCGCCACACUGGAACUGAGACACGGUCCAGACUCCUACGGGAGGCAGCAGUGGGGAAUUUUGGACAAUGGGCGCAAGCCUGAUCCAGCCAUGCCGCGUGAGUGAAGAAGGCCUUCGGGUUGUAAAGCUCUUUCGGCCGGGAAGAAAUCGCACAGGUUAAUACCCUGUGUGGAUGACGGUACCGGAAUAAGAAGCACCGGCUAACUACGUG
RNAcentral lists this ribosomal RNA (393 nucleotides) under uncultured bacterium. Its description in RNAcentral is "bacterial SSU rRNA". It matches the Rfam family "Bacterial small subunit ribosomal RNA", at positions 118 to 507 of the family's 1533-position model. The record is from RNAcentral.